Syngnathus acus (greater pipefish) is the source of this 158-nucleotide long non-coding RNA. RefSeq lists it as uncharacterized. Lineage: Eukaryota; Metazoa; Chordata; Actinopteri; Syngnathiformes; Syngnathidae. The transcript is spliced from 3 exons. The record is from RefSeq and is a predicted model, not a curated record.
CGUCCAUCCAUCUGUCAAAAAGGCAAGGCCAGAGCUUCUCUUCCGCCUCUUCCGGCAUCAGCAUCAGACAAGAGUCCAAAGUGCGGCUUGUGGCGGGAGAACCCCGCCAACGACUUCUGCUACCUGAUCAACGACAUGGCCACCAAGACCUGGAAGGA